Small nucleolar RNA from Ictalurus punctatus (channel catfish), 153 nucleotides. Ensembl annotates it as Small nucleolar RNA U109. The record is from Ensembl. NCBI's taxonomy places the organism in Eukaryota, Metazoa, Chordata, Actinopteri, Siluriformes, Ictaluridae.
UUGCAUGCAGUGGCUUUUCUGCCACAGUACAUCCACGUCUCCCCACUGAUGAGAUUGUGGCUGUAGAAAGAGCAUGCUAAAGUAACGCGGAGUUAACAGGGCCACCAGUCUCUCAAGCACAGACUGCGUUGGUAGUAUAGAACUCCUACAUUA